RNAcentral lists this ribosomal RNA (60 nucleotides) under Trebouxia sp. 7 GS-2016. Its description in RNAcentral is "partial large subunit ribosomal RNA". The record is from RNAcentral. Lineage: Eukaryota; Viridiplantae; Chlorophyta; Trebouxiophyceae; Trebouxiales; Trebouxiaceae.
UUUCGACCUGAGGUCAGGCAAGAACACCCGCUGAACUAAGCAUAUCAAUAAGCGAGAAAA